GCUGGCGGCGUGCUUAACACAUGCAAGUCGAACGCGAACGUUUCCUUCGGGAAACUAGUAGAGUGGCGCACGGGUGAGUAACGCGUAAGUAAUCUACCCUCGCAUCUGGGAUAACCCACCGAAAGGUGUGCUAAUACCUGAUACGUCUGGAAUUAUACAUUGAGUUCAGAGAAAGGUGGCCUCUUCAUGAAAGCUACUGUGCGGGGAGGAGCUUGCGUACCAUUAGCUAGUUGGUAGGGUAAGGGCCUACCAAGGCGAUGAUGGUUAGCGGGUCUGAGAGGAUGAUCCGCCACACUGGAACUGGAACACGGACCAGACUCCUACGGGAGGCAGCAGUGAGGAAUAUUGCGCAAUGGGGGCAACCCCUGACGCAGCGACGCCGCGUGGAUGAUGAAGGCCUUCGGGUUGUAAAAUC
RNAcentral lists this ribosomal RNA (415 nucleotides) under uncultured Desulfobacteraceae bacterium. RNAcentral describes it as "bacterial SSU rRNA". It matches the Rfam family "Bacterial small subunit ribosomal RNA", at positions 35 to 432 of the family's 1533-position model. Lineage: Bacteria; Pseudomonadati; Thermodesulfobacteriota; Desulfobacteria; Desulfobacterales; Desulfobacteraceae. The record is from RNAcentral.